UCGGCAACUUCGACCUCAUCGGCGCGCGGCCCGCUCAUGCACUUCCGCUUUGGCUCCUUCCCCGUCAUCGUCGGCUCCUCGGUCGACAUGGCCAGGUUCUUCCUCAAGACCCAGGCCAUCCUCUACGUCGACCGCCCCAAGACAGCCUCCGGCAAGCACACAACCUACAACUACCGUGAAAUGACGUGGUCCCCUUAUGGAGCCUACUGGCGCCAGGCGCGCCGCAUCUGCCUCGCCCAACUCUUCAGCACACGCCGCCUCGCAUCGAUGGAGCACAUCCGUGCUGACGAGGUGGGCGCGCUGGUGCGGGGCAUAUAUGCGGCCUCUGGGCCCAUGCGUGUUGUGCAUCUCGGUAGGGACCACAUGUGGACGCUGAGCUUGAACGUGAUCACGCGGAUGGUGAUGGGGAAGCGGUUGUUCGCCGACGGCGCGUCCGAGGGGCCGAUGCCGUCGAUGGAGGUGUUCCGGCGGAUGUUGGAUGAGCUCUUCCUGCUCAAUGGCGUCCUCAACAUCGGCGACUGGAUACCGUGGCUGGACUGGAUGGACCUCCAGGGUUACGUGCGGCGGAUGAAAAAGGUGGGGAAGGUGUUCGACACAUUCAUGGAACACAUACUCGAUGAGCACAUCCUAGGCAAGCAGCGCCGCCAUGAAGGCGAGGCGGCGAGGGACAUGGUGGACGUGCUCAUGGACAUCGCCGAUGACCCCACCCUCGAGGUCAAGUACGGCCGUAUCGGUGUGAAGGCCUUCACGCAGGACCUCAUCGCAGGGGGCACCGAGAGCUCCGCCGUCACCGUGGAAUGGGCCAUGUCAGAGCUCAUGAGGAGGCCCGCCGCCUUCGAUGCAGCCACCGAGGAGCUCGACCGCGUUGUUGGUCGUGCCCGUUGGGUGACUGAGAAGGACAUGCCGAACCUGCCCUACAUUGAGGCAAUCGUGAAAGAAUCCAUGCGCAUGCACCCCAUCGUGCCGCUCCUCAUCCCGCGCAUGGCCCGAGAGGACGCCACCAUUGAUGGCUACGACGUCCCCAAGGGUGCGCGUGUGCUCAUCAACGUGUGGGCCAUGGGCCGGGACCCGGAGCUGUGGGACGCACCGGAGGACUUCAUGCCGGAGAGGUUCCUGGGGAGCAAGAUGGGUGUGAUAGGGCAGGAUCUUGAGCUGCUGCCGUUUGGGACCGGUAGACGGAUGUGCCCCGGCUACAACCUCGGGCUGAAGGUGGUGCACCUGAGCUUGGCGAACCUGCUGCACGGGUUCACCUGGAGACUGCCGGAGGGGGUGAGGAAAGAUGAUCUGAGCACUUCUGCCCCGGCUCACUCCUCUUUCCAGCAAUCUAUGUGGGAAGCACUCGUUCAAAGUAAGUUGAGAUUCAAAGCGUUCCCGUAA
Molecule: ribosomal RNA, 1377 nt
Filed under: Triticum aestivum (bread wheat)
Lineage: Eukaryota; Viridiplantae; Streptophyta; Magnoliopsida; Poales; Poaceae
Description: partial small subunit ribosomal RNA
Source: RNAcentral